UACGGAGGGUGCGAGCGUUGUUCGGAAUCAUUGGGCGUAAAGCGCAUGUAGGCGGCUAAGUAAGUCUGAUGUGAAAUCCCGGGGCUCAACCCCGGAACUGCGUUGGAUACUGCUUAGCUAGAGGGUGAGAGAGGAGAGUGGAAUUCCUGGUGUAGGGGUGAAAUCCGUAGAUAUCAGGAGGAACAUCGGAGGCGAAGGCGGCUCUCUGGCUCAUUUCUGACGCUGAGAUGAGAAAGCGUGGGGAGCAAACAGG
This 253-nucleotide ribosomal RNA is filed under the name uncultured bacterium. RNAcentral describes it as "partial 16S ribosomal RNA". It matches the Rfam family "Bacterial small subunit ribosomal RNA", at positions 524 to 776 of the family's 1533-position model. The record is from RNAcentral.